UUUUGUAUUUUUAUUUUUUCACAUUUUCAAGCUUUAAAACGGGUCACUUUUGACCCGCAGGAGGACACGAGGGUUAACUGAUGUUAUGCUAAAAAGUUAUUGCUUUGGCUCAGGGGCCCCCUGCUGGAAUAAUCCGUUCAUAAUCCCUAUUACCCAGAUAACAGCUUUCCACGACACGCGUAGACUGUGUACUAGAUGUUGAAAAAGGUUGCCAAAGUUGUCAAAGCCUCAUCAAAAGUACUCUGAAAAUCCAUCAUGGUAAUAAACAUGAUAUCCAGGUCCGUGUACGGAUCUGGUAAUUGGAUUUUCCGUUCUGAAACGGGUAUUGAAAAACAAAAAAGUAGUGGUUAUUUGAUUUUCGUUUUAAAAUAAAAAAAUUAAAAUUGAAAUACAAGGCGUUUUUCCUUUUCAUGAUCAAAAAGGGAUAUACGAUUUUUUUUUUUAAAUGCUUGAUUUUCGUUUUAUAUUUAGAAUAAAAAGAAAGUAAAAUUAGUAAGAGACAGAAACGAAAAAAGGUCAGUUUUUUCAUUUUCUGAGACCGGAAGUUGUCAUCAGCAAGUGUGGAGCCAGAGUAAGGUGCAUAGACUAUAUAUACAUUUUUUUUCGUUAGUUUUCAUGGUCAAAAUGAGAGAUCAGGUGGCCGAUCCUAAAAUAAAUCAAUAUUGAUUUUUUUUUUUUUUUUUAUAGAGCGUUAAAGUUUUGCGAAGCCAGGAGGCGGGGCUACUUGAUUGAAAGUCCGGUCUGGAGUGAUUGACAGGUCUUAUGGAGGAGACAGCAGAGACUCUGCUCUCCUCGUUUGGAUUAAUUCUGAUAUAAUAACUGUUGGUUUAUUUAUCAGUGGAGCAGCACAACAUUUUCCACAGACAGUUUUCCUGCCCGUUGGCUUGUUUUAACCAGUUUUCUACCUUCGGCUGAUUCUACCAGCAGACACUGAAAGGACUCUGAUAGUUUGAGUGAAAGUAGCAGUUCCUCCUGAAGGUCAGAGAUUGCAGCAUCUGAGGGCCUCUUCAAAAGAAGAUGUAGUUGAUGAAGGCGUUCUGGAGCAGGACCAGAAAGACCACAACCAAGCAGCCUUCAGAUCUUAGGCAGCAUCUCCCUGAGGUCCCUCUCUAUCUCCCCACACAUCCACCAACCACUGGAACACAUCUCCAAAGUUCUGCCGGGCCAGCUCAGCUUCCCCUCAGAAGAAGUGCUGCCACCUGCCAGAUGAAGGAGCCUUUUGAGAGGCAGCUGGCAUCGUGAUUGGACUGUACUUUGGUCUGUUCCAAUCCAGCUUCAGCUCCAGAGACGGCAGGCGGGACGAGUCAACGGAGGCCUGGUGGACGAAGACAUGCAGCUGAGUACAAUCCAGAAAACAACAGAGGAGGAGUGCAGGGCCCUGGGCCAGAACACACAGAGUAGCACAUUAUGUCUCUUAGAAAACAUCAUAUACAUCAUAUAUUGUACAAAUAACAAGUCAAAGGAAAAAGACAUUGUAGAAUUGUAGUAAUUGUGGGCUGACUGAUUUACUGAUUAUCAGUAUUUUUUUUUUACUGAUUUACGGUAAUAAAUACAUUUAAAAAUUG
Molecule: long non-coding RNA, 1565 nt
Organism: Amphiprion ocellaris (clown anemonefish)
Lineage: Eukaryota; Metazoa; Chordata; Actinopteri; Pomacentridae
Exons: 3
Source: RefSeq, a predicted model, not a curated record